Molecule: ribosomal RNA, 659 nt
Filed under: uncultured Actinomycetes bacterium
Lineage: Bacteria; Bacillati; Actinomycetota; Actinomycetes
Description: SSU rRNA
Rfam family: Bacterial small subunit ribosomal RNA
Source: RNAcentral
CUUGUUGGUGGGGUAACGGCCUACCAAGGCGACGACGGGUAGCCGGCCUGAGAGGGCGACCGGCCACACUGGGACUGAGACACGGCCCAGACUCCUACGGGAGGCAGCAGUGGGGAAUAUUGCGCAAUGGGCGAAAGCCUGACGCAGCGACGCCGCGUGGGGGAUGAAGGCCUUCGGGUUGUAAACCCCUUUCAGCAGGGACGAAGCGAAAGUGACGGUACCUGCAGAAGAAGCGCCGGCUAACUACGUGCCAGCAGCCGCGGUAACACGUAGGGCGCAAGCGUUGUCCGGAAUUAUUGGGCGUAAAGAGCUCGUAGGCGGUCUGUUGCGUCCGCUGUGAAAACUCGGGGCUUAACCCCGAGCCUGCAGUGGAUACGGGCAGACUAGAGGUAGGUAGGGGAGAAUGGAAUUCCCGGUGUAGCGGUGAAAUGCGCAGAUAUCGGGAGGAACACCGGUGGCGAAGGCGGUUCUCUGGGCCUUACCUGACGCUGAGGAGCGAAAGCGUGGGGAGCGAACAGGAUUAGAUACCCUGGUAGUCCACGCCGUAAACGUUGGGCGCUAGGUGUGGGAUCCUUCCACGGAUUCCGUGCCGCAGCUAACGCAUUAAGCGCCCCGCCUGGGGAGUACGGCCGCAAGGCUAAAACUCAAAGGAAUUGACG